ACCUCUGCAAUAGGCGAAAGCCUGACAGGGUUACUCUGAGUGACUUUCGUUAAGAGAGUCUUUUGGCACCUCUAAAAAGGGUGUAGAAUAAGGGGUGGGCAAGUCUGGUGUCAGCCGCCGCGGUAAUACCAGCACCCCGAGUGGUCGGGACGAUUAUUGGGCCUAAAGCAUCCGUAGCCGGUUCUGCAAGUCCUCCGUUAAAUCCAACUGCUUAACAGAUGGGCCGCGGAGGAUACUACAGAGCUAGGAGGCAGGAGAGGCAAGCGGUACUCAGUGGGUAGGGGUAAAAUCCGUUGAUCCAUUGAAGACCACCAGUGGCGAAGGCGGCUUGCCAGAAUGCGCUCGACGGUGAGGGAUGAAAGCUGGGGGAGCAAACCGGAUUAGAUACCCGGGUAGUCCCAGCCGUAAACGAUGCAGACUCGGUGAUGGGUUGGCUUCGUGCUAACCCAGUGCCGCAGGGAAGCCGUUAAGUCUGCCGCCUGGGUAGUACGGUCGCAAGACUGAAACUUAA
RNAcentral lists this ribosomal RNA (511 nucleotides) under uncultured archaeon. RNAcentral describes it as "bacterial SSU rRNA". It matches the Rfam family "Archaeal small subunit ribosomal RNA", at positions 346 to 859 of the family's 1478-position model. The record is from RNAcentral.